This 578-nucleotide ribosomal RNA is filed under the name Saccharomyces cerevisiae (brewer's yeast). RNAcentral describes it as "partial large subunit ribosomal RNA". It matches the Rfam family "Eukaryotic large subunit ribosomal RNA", at positions 51 to 643 of the family's 3401-position model. Lineage: Eukaryota; Fungi; Ascomycota; Saccharomycetes; Saccharomycetales; Saccharomycetaceae. The record is from RNAcentral.
CGGAGGAAAAGAAACCAACCGGGAUUGCCUUAGUAACGGCGAGUGAAGCGGCAAAAGCUCAAAUUUGAAAUCUGGUACCUUCGGUGCCCGAGUUGUAAUUUGGAGAGGGCAACUUUGGGGCCGUUCCUUGUCUAUGUUCCUUGGAACAGGACGUCAUAGAGGGUGAGAAUCCCGUGUGGCGAGGAGUGCGGUUCUUUGUAAAGUGCCUUCGAAGAGUCGAGUUGUUUGGGAAUGCAGCUCUAAGUGGGUGGUAAAUUCCAUCUAAAGCUAAAUAUUGGCGAGAGACCGAUAGCGAACAAGUACAGUGAUGGAAAGAUGAAAAGAACUUUGAAAAGAGAGUGAAAAAGUACGUGAAAUUGUUGAAAGGGAAGGGCAUUUGAUCAGACAUGGUGUUUUGUGCCCUCUGCUCCUUGUGGGUAGGGGAAUCUCGCAUUUCACUGGGCCAGCAUCAGUUUUGGUGGCAGGAUAAAUCCAUAGGAAUGUAGCUUGCCUCGGUAAGUAUUAUAGCCUGUGGGAAUACUGCCAGCUGGGACUGAGGACUGCGACGUAAGUCAAGGAUGCUGGCAUAAUGGUUAUAU